AGUCGAGCGGAAACGAGUUCACUGAACCUUCGGGGAACGUGAACGGCGUCGAGCGGCGGACGGGUGAGUAAUGCCUGGGAAAUUGCCCUGAUGUGGGGGAUAACCAUUGGAAACGAUGGCUAAUACCGCAUAAUAGCUUCGGCUCAAAGAGGGGGACCUUCGGGCCUCUCGCGUCAGGAUAUGCCCAGGUGGGAUUAGCUAGUUGGUGAGGUAAGGGCUCACCAAGGCAACGAUCCCUAGCUGGUCUGAGAGGAUGAUCAGCCACACUGGAACUGAGACACGGUCCAGACUCCUACGGGAGGCAGCAGUGGGGAAUAUUGCACAAUGGGCGCAGCCUGAUGCAGCC
This 346-nucleotide ribosomal RNA is filed under the name uncultured Vibrio sp. Its description in RNAcentral is "bacterial SSU rRNA". It matches the Rfam family "Bacterial small subunit ribosomal RNA", at positions 60 to 392 of the family's 1533-position model. The record is from RNAcentral. Lineage: Bacteria; Pseudomonadati; Pseudomonadota; Gammaproteobacteria; Vibrionales; Vibrionaceae.